Molecule: ribosomal RNA, 573 nt
Filed under: uncultured Bacilli bacterium
Lineage: Bacteria; Bacillati; Bacillota; Bacilli
Description: bacterial SSU rRNA
Rfam family: Bacterial small subunit ribosomal RNA
Source: RNAcentral
ACUAUUGGAAACGAUAGCUAAUACCGCAUAACAAUGGAUGACCCAUGUCAUUUAUUUGAAAGGGGCAAAUGCUCCACUACAAGAUGGACCUGCGUUGUAUUAGCUAGUAGGUGAGGUAACGGCUCACCUAGGCGACGAUACAUAGCCGACCUGAGAGGGUGAUCGGCCACACUGGGACUGAGACACGGCCCAGACUCCUACGGGAGGCAGCAGUAGGGAAUCUUCGGCAAUGGGGGCAACCCUGACCGAGCAACGCCGCGUGAGUGAAGAAGGUUUUCGGAUCGUAAAGCUCUGUUGUAAGCCAAGAACGAGUGUGAGAGUGGAAAGUUCACACUGUGACGGUAGCUUACCAGAAAGGGACGGCUAACUACGUGCCAGCAGCCGCGGUAAUACGUAGGUCCCGAGCGUUGUCCGGAUUUAUUGGGCGUAAAGCGAGCGCAGGCGGUUUGAUAAGUCUGAAGUUAAAGGCUGUGGCUCAACCAUAGUUCGCUUUGGAAACUGUCAAACUUGAGUGCAGAAGGGGAGAGUGGAAUUCCAUGUGUAGCGGUGAAAUGCGUAGAUAUAUGGAGGAAC